UUUUUCAACACACAACAUGUAUGUAUAACUUGGUCACGUCAACUUUUGACUAGGGUUAUAAACUAUAAAGAGAUAAUAACGACCAUGAAAAUCACAAAAUUUCUUGUUUGAAAGGACGAGGAAUUUAUUUCAUUGGAUAUAUGACUCGUACAUUGGUUUCGAUAUCUCUUGACUCGUACAUUGGUUUCUGAUACGAUUGUGAGUCGAGAAGGAUCACCCUAAUGCCAACGCAGACCCACUUAUUGCUAACACAUUAUUAACUUCUCAAAACUCCUUUCAUUCUUUCAUUUUUUUGGUAAAAAUAUAGAAUGGAGCCCAAUAAAAAUAAAUAAUCAAUUUAACGAACAUUCAUAGAAAUGCAAGUGCCAACAAUAUCAUCAAACAAGAGAUUUUGAAGCUCUUUAGGAGAUGUCUCAGUAACAUCUAAGUCAAAAUAUCGAUUGAAUUCAUAUAUAUACUAAAAUUAGCUAGCCAAUCAGGGGCAGAUCUGGACUCACAAUAUUGGUGAGGCACAAUUUUAUGUCAAAUAAUCAAAUAAAACGUAAGCAUAGGAACCGAGCGCGAGUUAGCUUCCGUUUGUAGCGAGCGACAAUUAACUUGCAUUUGGGUUAUUAGGGUAAAUUUUGGGGGUAAAUGAGCAAUUUUAAAAGUGAGAAGGGUAAUAUUGAAUAACAUAUGCAAAUAUGAAGCCCAAGCCCAUAACAACAAACAAACAUCCUUAUCCUUAU
RNAcentral lists this long non-coding RNA (728 nucleotides) under Medicago truncatula (barrel medic). RNAcentral's name for it is "long non-coding RNA (MTRU_LNC004735)". Lineage: Eukaryota; Viridiplantae; Streptophyta; Magnoliopsida; Fabales; Fabaceae. The record is from RNAcentral.